RNAcentral lists this long non-coding RNA (6474 nucleotides) under Sus scrofa (pig). Its description in RNAcentral is "lncRNA (ENSSSCG00000054926.1)". Lineage: Eukaryota; Metazoa; Chordata; Mammalia; Artiodactyla; Suidae. The record is from RNAcentral.
ACUUUAACCAUUGGAGAAUCUAAAAUCGUGUAUUUUUAAUCUUUUUUUUCAGAUUUAGUUUUCUCCAGAUUAUCUUGUUUCUAUUACUGAACCAACCAAACCUAGAGGAUACAGUUCUAUACUUUACAAUGCUGAAUGGAUUUCAAUUUUGUUGUACAGGAUAAGCAACAAUAACUUCCUUUUAUUUUUUCAUGACAGUUGCCAAAGCACAAGAAAUGUGCUCAUGGCAUUAUAGUAUUUUUGUUUUGUUUUGUUUUGUUUUUCAGACUACAGUAAACAUUUAAUGAACAUUAAUUCUCUGUUUUCUCCUUCUCCUUGUCUUACUGGAACUUUGCACAUAACUCUCUUGAUCACUGCAUAUUAUUGGUUCAGCCAGUUAAAUUUGAUCUAGAGGCCAUCUGUUAGGGUCAAUUUGGUACAUUUCUCCUUUUUUAAAAAAAGUUUUAUUGCAGUAUAGUUAAUUUACAAGGUUGUGAUAAUUUCUGCUGUACAACAAAGUGACCCAGUCAUACAUAUACAUGUAUCCAUUCUCUCUCAGAUGCUUUUCCCACAUAGAUUAUCACAAUAUACUGGGUAGUGUUCUCUGUGCUCUACAGCAGGUCCCCAGUGGCCAGUCGUUCAUACACCUCAGCGUGCAUAUGCCAGCCCCAAACUCCUAGUCCAUCCCUCCCACUUCUCCACAAGUUAAUCUGACGGAUCCUCUAAAGCUCACAAGACAGAUUCAGGCCGCUGCAUAUGAGGCACAUCUGCCAGAUAUUAUGGUCUGUAUGUCUAAUAUCAUAUAUCUCAUGAUUAUGCAUGUUAAGGGAUGUAAGUAGAGUGAAAUAGGAAGUGUAAUAAUAAUUUAAAUACAAAAAUUUAAAAAGUGCAUCAAGAUUAUAACAACUAAACCUAGAAAAGUGAAGACAUCAGAAAUCCUGCCUUCUUCUACUCCUCAGUAACCUGUGUAUGUGUGUGUGUGUGUGUGUGUAUUUACCCAAUACAUUCUGGCAGCUGUAUUCUAAAACUUAUCUGCUGUUUGAGUUUGAGCAAUUCACUUUGCCUUAUUUUGCUUAUCUUUAAAAUGGGAAAAGUCACGGCACCUAGCUUACAAAGCUUUGCUCGAGAUCUUAAAUGUUAGUUACCACGACUGUUUUUAAGGUCCACCACUUUCAUCCUGUGUGAAAGGGAGUGACAUGGAAGGUAAGCACAUUAUGUAGGAGCAGCAAGUUUCCUGAGAUGGAAUCUUUGCUUCUGUCUUUUCUGUUGUCUGCUCUGCAACUAACUCUAUGUACAUAAACACUAAGCUUCAUUUUCCACUUUUGUAGAACAGAAUUAAUUACUUCCAUCAUGGGGCACGGUAAGAUGAUCAGAUAGUUAAUUUAUUACUUAGAACAUUGUAAGCAUACAGUGAUUUAUUUUUGUAAGCUAAAACAUACCAGACUAAGUUUAAUAUUCAUAACUGAUUAGUAUUUACAUUAAUAUUUACAUUAAACAACAUGAAAAAGCAAAUUAAAAUACAAAUUAUCUUAGGUAUUAUAAGAUAAACUAAUAAGAUGCAGUGAAAGAGAAUACAAGCACUGGAAAGCAGAGAAAACCUCUCUGCUGGAUAAAUAAAUAUUUAAACUAGGAGGAAAAAAUGAAGACGAGUGCAGAGGUUUCAGAAUUUUUGAGUGAGGGGCAGGUGGUAAAAGCUGGGUGGUUAUGCGACAUAGAAGUUGCGAUUGGACCUGUAAUGAUGACCAGGUCACACUGGUCGUCACAGUCCAUACUAUACAUUUUGGAUUUUCUUUUGUUUUUAAUUUUUUAAAGUUUUAUUGAACUAUAGUUGAUUUACAAUAUUUUCAUCAUUGCUGCUGUACUCACUUAUACAUGUACACACAUCAAUUCUUUUUCAGAUCCUUUUCCCACAUAGACCAUCACAAGAUACUGGGUGAAUUUCCCUGUACUAUACAGCAAGUCCCCAGUGGCCAGUGAUUCCGUAUAUCACAAUAUGCAUCUGUCAAUCCCAAACCCUCAGUCCAUCCCGCCCCACAACAUCUGUCCCCUUCGGUAACCGUGUUUAUUUUCAAAGUCUGUGAGUCUGCUUUUGUUCUGCAGAUAAGUUCAUUUGCAUCCUUUUUUUUUUUUGACUUCACAUAUAAGUGGUAUCAUAUGAUGUUUGUCUUUCACUGUCGAACUUCACUUAGUAUGAUAAGCUCUAGGUGCAUCCAUGUUUCUGUAAAUGGCAUUAUUUCAUUCUUUUUAUGGCUGAGUAAUAUUCCAUUGGGUGUAUGUACCACAUCUUCUUUAUCCAUGUCAUCUCUAGUUCCAGUCACCAUCUUCAAUUCUUGCCUGGACUAAUGCCGUUGUGACCCAUUGGGCCUUUCUCCUUCCUCUCGUCAUUCAUUUGGGACACUGGUGAUUGCAGGUAGUUGAAUGACUUCAGAGAUUGUAAGCACUGAACUUUAGAGAUUGUAAGCACUGAAAAAAAGUUUUAUGGAGCUACCCCCCAACAUGCAAUUCAAAUUGAAAAUCAGUUGAAAUCUAUCAGAUAACCGUAAGAUGGUUAUAAAAAUUCGGAUUUGCCCCUUGAAGGAAAACCAAAUUAUUCAUGUAUCAGUCCACAUAUAAAUUCCUAUAAAGACUUAGGCACCAUAUUGCACUGGAGACCUCCUCCUCAAGAAGCACAGAGUUGAGGUGGAAGUGAUGCCAAUAAACAUGCAGUUAUGAUGCUGUGUGGCCAAGUCUCCUACAGAGUAGUGAACAGGAUAGAGCAGCGGCACCAGAAUCAGGCCUGAAUGAUUGAAGAAGAUUUCACAUUAGGACGUGAAAAUCAAGAUGAAGCUUUACAGUGAAGGGUGAGCUGAGGUUAGCCAAGGGGAGAAGAGUUCACACAAUUGCAGGCAGAGGAAAAGCUUAUUUCAUUUCAUUUCAUUUCAUUUCAUUUUUGGCUGCACCUGUGGCAUGCAAACUUUGGUCAGAGAUUGAACCUGAGCCACAGCAGUAGCAACACCAGAUCCUUAACCUACUUAGCCACCAGGGAACUCUGGGAAAGUUUUGAAAAGGUACAAAAGAUAAAGGAGCAUACACUUUUGGGAAUCAACAGCUUUCCCAUAACUGAAUUCAUGAAUAGGAGGUCUUUAUAUACACUAAAAGUUAAAAAUAAGUUUAUUUUUCUUCUGAUUACCUCUAUGAUGGUUCAGAACAUACUGUUUUCCAAGGAGCUAAAUUAACCAUGGGUUUAACUAUGCACAAAUAGCAUAAAAGCUUAAAAAUAUUUUGGUCUUAACCUGAUUAUAAAUGAACAUUUUCUUCAGAGUCCAGUAAGCAUAUCAUAAAACUAUAACAUUUUUGAAAACUUAAUCCAAAAGUGUAUUUUAGCACCAAAGUCAUGUGGCAUAUUUUUAAAAUGACAUAAUAUUGACUCAUUAUGAAACAGGUUCCACUAAAAACAAAUUAACUUCUAACAGCAAAUGGCCUAAGCACUCAUUAUUUUAGUGUUGAAAACUUCAGUCCUGAAAUUUAAUAUCUAUCCUUCAUUCCCAAUAUCCUUUCUCUAUUACAUGUGCAAGAAAAUGUUUGACCUGUAAGAUUAAGCACUUAAUACAUUUUCAGAUGAUACGCAUUUUCCAGGGCUAUAUGGUUUCCCCUAGGUUUCAGAAGAGAAUUGUAGAAAAUAGCCCUGAGGUUUUAAAAUACAAGUUGUAGUUGACUUAUUCAUAAACCACAAAGUUUUUGUGAUAAUUAUUUCAAUAUUGAAAACUCUAAUGUCCUUCUAUGCUUCCCUUCUGCAGAACAUAUAUUUUUGGAUAAUCACCCAAAACUAUUAUAUUCCAACCCACACCCAGUUUCUUCCUUUGCACAACAAUGGAUUACCAUGUCAAUAAAAGGCCUUCUAAAUUUUCCAAGACAAAAAUGGGACAGAUCCAUUUUAGGAAUCUUGGCAAUGAUUUGUUGAUUUAAAUGUUUCUGUAUAUUUUUUGGUUUCUCUAGUUAGAAUUGGCCAUAAAUCAGAUUUGAAAAUAAGGUAAUGAUUUCCAAAGUUGGUUGUUGAUUGAAACCAUGCAAGGAAGUUUAAAAAAAUGCAGAUUCCCAAGAUAUUUCCCUUGGAGAUCCUGACUGAAUAUAUGUGUGAUUAAGAAAUUUGCAUUUUUAAAUAGUACCAAAGGUGAUUGUGAUAAUCACAUGAACCUAAGUUAUGUUCUCUUCAUUCCUUUACUUUUGCUUCUCUCUCACCCCUUCAUAAUCCUUGUGCUUUUUCUGUUAUCUUAUGGAGGGAGUGUCUCUGCUUAUGUUUUGUUUGUUUUUAGUGAAACAUUUGUGUCUCCAAUGGAGGCAAUUCAGGGUGAGUUAAUCAGAAAGACCCCAUGGGGGAAGUCAAGAUUUCAUCAUAGCUCUCCUCAUGACUAUCUGUUCCAUCCAUAAACAUGCAACUUUGAGGAAAGAAGAUGCUAAAGGCUCUGGGUCUUCAGGAGUAUUUCUACUGGCCCAGACAUGGGACUCUAGCAAGUCUAAAAGCUAAUCAGUCACAGAAUAUUUAUUCAUUUUAUGACAAACGAAUACACUGUAUUCAGAUGGACAAAGAAAAUUGGAAUUUUUUUUUAACUUUUUGUGUAAUCUCCUUUCCACCAACGUUGGAUGGUAGGAAAUCUGAAUUUAGUCACUGGCAUUCUGUUAGUCUCUAUCUAUUUAAAACGUCCCAGUCAAUUUAGGUUCUCCUUUUAGACUUCCAGACUUUAACUCCCUCAGUGUAAUAUUCCAGGGGGUGGAACCUGCCUGGUGCCUGGGGCUGAGGCAGGGAAGGAACAGCUACUAGGAUAUGUAGCGUGAUGGUUUGGCUCCUCUCGUCUUGUCGUUAUUUAACUCCAUUAACUGGGGACUGUGGCUCCGGAGGUUGUGGCCUCUUCUCUCUGGGGUGGGUCCUGUUCCCUUCAGUCCUCCGUGAUGACUCAUAUCUCACCAUGUCUGGCUGGCUUUGAGUGGCUUCCUGAUGUCUGGCUCUGAGUGCCAAACAAAUCCUGCCUUGGGUAGUUGACUCUGCAGUUAUUGCAGUAGCAGAACAAGGCCAGAGGGCCUGGAGUAGAGUGAGGGAGGGAAGGAGGGACCCAGAUGAGGUCCAGGAUUACUUUCCCUGUGGCGCUAUAAGCAGUGACCAUGCAUUCAGUGGCUUAAAACAGCACGGAUUUAUUAUCUUUCAAUUCUGAAGCUCAGCAAUCCAAAGCGAGUUUCCCGAGGUUAAGAUCAAGGUGCCAGCAGGACUGCGUUCCUUUGAAAGCUCUAAGAGAUAAAUCAUUUCCUUGGCUUUUGCAGCUUCUGGAGACAUUCACAUUUUUUGUCUCUUCAGCCCACCAUCUCCAAAGCUAGCAAUGGUCAGCUGGGUCUUUCUCACAUCAUGCCCCUCUGACAUGAACUUUCCUGACUCCUUCUUCCACUUUUAAGGAUACCGUGAUUCCAGGAGACCCACCCGGAUAAUCCUGGGUAAUCAUCUGUCUUAAAGUCAAUUGAGUAACAUCCUUAAUUUUGUCAGCUCCCUUAACGCCUCACUGCCAUGUAACUUACAUAUUCACAACUUCUGGGAAUGAGUAUGAGAAGCCACUAUUUUGCCUACAGCAGUUUCUAAAACCUUUAAUGGUACUGUAGUUUGAUUUAAACACUCUCCAAAAGUGUUCGAUUAGAAGAAACUCUGCUCUUUGGAUCUAUGACCUUCAAUAUGUUUGAAAUGAUUUUUCAAAAAUCAGUUAUAGCCACAUCCCAUAGUAUCUCCUCAUUUAUGCUCUAACAUUAGAGAAUUAGAUUUUAUAUUUUUUAGCUUUUAUUAUCCAGCUAGGAAGCUGAAUUGAGAUAUGCCCUUUAUUGGUGUGAUUAGGCUGUUAUACAUUGCCAAAUUGUGUGUUGAAUAUUCUCUCAGAAGCCAGGGGAAACAAAAUUAUAAUGAAAUUAUUCUGGGUCUGGUUAAUGUCCUUUCUGGGAAGAGACUUGGGAGUAACUUAAAAAAUACGCUGAGACAUUUGCUUGUGGGCAUGUGGGUUGUUUUUCCCAGAAGUGAUGUGCAGUAGACUGGGUACCAGAAGAGGGAGGGGGGGUGUGCUCUCAAGUCUACAUGUAUUUCCGUGAUCUCCAGGGUCAUGACUCAGAGUGGAAUCCCUGAGUGACUCAGAUCUCAUUUUGUCACUUAGGGGGGAAAAAAAAAGAAAACAGAAAAAAGAGAUGAGUAUCUAAAGAGAAAAAGAGUGGUCGUGUUGGAUCCUGGGCCACAACCAUUGAAAAUACUUCCUCGGAGUUCCCAUCAUGGCGCAGCGGAAACGAAUCCGACUAGGAACCAUGAGGUUGCAGGUUCAAUCCCUGGCCUCACUCAGUGGGUUAAGGACCCAGCGUUGCUGUGAGCUGUGGUGUAGGUCACAGACACGUUUCAGAUCCCAUGUUGCUAUGGCUCUGGUGUAGGCCGGCAGCAGCAGCUCCGAUUAGACCCCUAGCCUGGGAAUCUCCAUAUGCCGCAGGUGCGGCCCUAAAAAA